UACGUAGGGUGCGAGCGUUAAUCGGAAUUACUGGGCGUAAAGUGUGCGCAGGCGGCCGAGCAAGUCGAGUGUGAAAGCCCCGAGCUUAACUUGGGAACUGCGCUCGAAACUACUUGGCUAGAGUGUGGCAGAGGGAGGUGGAAUUCCACGUGUAGCGGUGAAAUGCGUAGAGAUGUGGAGGAACACCGAUGGCGAAGGCAGCCUCCUGGGCCAACACUGACGCUCAUGCACGAAGGCGUGGGGAGCAAACAGG
Molecule: ribosomal RNA, 253 nt
Filed under: uncultured bacterium
Lineage: Bacteria
Description: partial 16S ribosomal RNA
Rfam family: Bacterial small subunit ribosomal RNA
Source: RNAcentral